This 293-nucleotide ribosomal RNA is filed under the name uncultured archaeon. RNAcentral describes it as "partial 16S ribosomal RNA". It matches the Rfam family "Archaeal small subunit ribosomal RNA", at positions 55 to 352 of the family's 1478-position model. The record is from RNAcentral.
ACGAUCAACGUAGAAAUACGUGGCAAACGGCUCAGUAACACGUCGUCAACAUGCCCAGGGGACGUGGAUAACCUCGGGAAACUGAGGAUAAACCACGAUAGGCCAUGAUUUCUGGAAUGGUUCAUGGCCGAAAUCUAUAUGGCCCCUGGAUUGGACUGCGGCCGAUCAGGCUGUUGGUGAGGUAAUGGCCCACCAAACCUGUAACCGGUACGGGCUCUGAGAGGAGGAGCCCGGAGAUGGGCACUGAGACAAGGGCCCAGGCCCUAUGGGGCGCAGCAGGCGCGAAAUCUCUG